This 164-nucleotide ribosomal RNA is filed under the name uncultured bacterium. Its description in RNAcentral is "partial 16S ribosomal RNA". It matches the Rfam family "Bacterial small subunit ribosomal RNA", at positions 355 to 511 of the family's 1533-position model. The record is from RNAcentral.
UAGGGAAUCUUCCACAAUGGGCGAAAGCCUGAUGGAGCAACGCCGCGUGUGUGAUGAAGGGUUUCGGCUCGUAAACACUGUUGUAAGAGAAGAAUGACAUUGAGAGUAACUGUUCAAUGUGUGACGGGUAUCUUACCAGAAAGGAACGGCUAAAUACGUGCCAG